UACGAAGGGGGCUAGCGUUGCUCGGAAUCACUGGGCGUAAAGGGCGCGUAGGCGGCCAUUCAAGUCGGGGGUGAAAGCCCAGGGCUCAACCCUGGAAUUGCCUUCGAUACUGUUUGGCUAGAGACCGGAAGAGGUAAGUGGAACUGCGAGUGUAGAGGUGAAAUUCGUAGAUAUUCGCAAGAACACCAGUGGCGAAGGCGGCUUACAGGUCCGGUUCUGACGCUGAGGCGCGAAAGCGUGGGGAGCAAACAGG
This 253-nucleotide ribosomal RNA is filed under the name uncultured bacterium. RNAcentral's name for it is "partial 16S ribosomal RNA". It matches the Rfam family "Bacterial small subunit ribosomal RNA", at positions 524 to 776 of the family's 1533-position model. The record is from RNAcentral.